UACGUAGGGUGCGAGCGUUAAUCGGAAUUACUGGGCGUAAAGCGUGCGCAGGCGGCUUUGCAAGACAGAUGUGAAAUCCCCGGGCUCAACCUGGGAACUGCAUUUGUGACUGCAAGGCUAGAGUACGGCAGCGGGGGAUGGAAUUCCGCGUGUAGCAGUGAAAUGCGUAGAUAUGCGGAGGACCACCAAUGGCGAAGGCAAUCCCCUGGGCCUGUACUGACGCUCAUGCACGAAAGCGUGGGGAGCAAACAGG
This 253-nucleotide ribosomal RNA is filed under the name uncultured bacterium. RNAcentral describes it as "partial 16S ribosomal RNA". It matches the Rfam family "Bacterial small subunit ribosomal RNA", at positions 524 to 776 of the family's 1533-position model. The record is from RNAcentral.